This 745-nucleotide unclassified non-coding RNA is filed under the name Hevea brasiliensis (rubber tree). The record is from RNAcentral. Lineage: Eukaryota; Viridiplantae; Streptophyta; Magnoliopsida; Malpighiales; Euphorbiaceae.
GGAAUUGGUUGAUGCUGCUAUUCCUUCGCAUAUCCUGGAGCCUUUCAAGCGCACAAUUCUACAAGUUGACGGAGUUGAGGGUUGUAGUCACCUGAGAGGAAGGAGGGCUGGUUCAUAUCUCUAUCUUGAUGUCAUAGUUGAGGUUGACCCCUUUUCUAGUGUAAGUGCUGCGCAUGAGAUCGGGGAAAACGUCAGCCGCGAAAUCCAGCGAUUACAUCCCGAAAUAGCUGAAGUCUUCAUUCACAUAGAACCGUCAACUAUACACAUUCCACCCACUGUUGUGUCUCAACAGAGAAGUGCUAACACAAUGGAUGCAGACAUUGAAAAUAUAGUGUACAACAUUUUAUCGACACACUUUUCUCAGAAGAUGAUUGUCGAGCGUGUGACUCCACAUCUACUGCAAGGACAGGUUUUACUUCAAGUGGAAGUUUCUAUGCCUCCCGAUCUCUUGAUUAGGGAUGCGAUAAAAGUCGCAGAAGAAGCAGAAAAAUUAAUCAUAGAGGCAGCACCAAAUAUUGUUCAUGUGUGUAUCCAGCUGCGUCUAGGGCGAUCCAUGCCAGAGUCUUACCACAAAUUGGUGAAGAGCACAAGUCAGGGACUUGUAUACACUUAAAAUGUGCAUGCAUACAUCCACAUCAUGUAUAAUCAAUAAAGAAAUUCCGACUAAAAAAUAAAUCAAAGCUACACAGUGUCGAUUCUCUAUUUUAUCCUCCAAAUAUAGAAAAUGAAGAGUAAACUAGAGGUG